Molecule: transfer RNA, 64 nt
Filed under: Abia sp.
Lineage: Eukaryota; Metazoa; Arthropoda; Insecta; Hymenoptera; Cimbicidae
Description: tRNA-Gly
Source: RNAcentral
AUUUAUAUAAUAUAAUAAAGUAUAUUUGAUUUCCAAUCAAAAAGUCUAAAAAUUAGUAUAAAUA